AUUUUUAUGGAGAGUUUGAUCCUGGCUCAGGAUGAACGCUGGCGGCGUGCCUAAUACAUGCAAGUCGAGCGAACAGAUAAGG
Molecule: ribosomal RNA, 82 nt
Filed under: Staphylococcus sp. AOAB
Lineage: Bacteria; Bacillati; Bacillota; Bacilli; Caryophanales; Staphylococcaceae
Description: partial 16S ribosomal RNA
Rfam family: Bacterial small subunit ribosomal RNA
Source: RNAcentral